ACACCCCCGGGGAGAUGCCAAG
This 22-nucleotide non-coding RNA is filed under the name Mus musculus (house mouse). The record is from RNAcentral. Lineage: Eukaryota; Metazoa; Chordata; Mammalia; Rodentia; Muridae.